Olea europaea var. sylvestris is the source of this 310-nucleotide long non-coding RNA. RefSeq lists it as uncharacterized. The transcript has 2 exons. NCBI's taxonomy places the organism in Eukaryota, Viridiplantae, Streptophyta, Magnoliopsida, Lamiales, Oleaceae. The record is from RefSeq and is a predicted model, not a curated record.
ACGCCAUAGGAAGUACUAUUGCUUGGCCAAAGAGCUGCAUUAGACUUAUUUGACGAAGUUACAUGGAGCUGAAGUGAGUUCGAAAAUCUCUUUUGUGCUUGUAUCGUCUUGGAUCUCGUCUAUGUAAAAAGAUUUGGCUGGGACUCGUUAGAAGCUUCGGUUAUGAAUCGUUUACAUAACUUUUGGACAUUUUUCAUAGUUCUUUGGUUAGAUGGUGUAUAUUUUUGAAUUGAAGUAUUUAUUAUGUUUUGAUGAAGUAAUAUUGCAUAUCGGAUCAUGUUUAUUGGCUUAAAUGAAGCACUUUUAAUUU